UACGGAGGGGGCUAGCGUUGUUCGGAAUUACUGGGCGUAAAGCGCGCGUAGGCGGACCUGCAAGUCGGGGGUGAAAGCCCGAGGCUCAACCUCGGAACUGCCUUCGAUACUGCGGGUCCCGAGUCCGGGAGAGGUGAGUGGAAUUCCUAGUGUAGAGGUGAAAUUCGUAGAUAUUAGGAAGAACACCAGUGGCGAAGGCGGCUCACUGGCCCGGUUCUGACGCUGAGGCGCGAAAGCGUGGGGAGCAAACAGG
This 253-nucleotide ribosomal RNA is filed under the name uncultured bacterium. RNAcentral describes it as "partial 16S ribosomal RNA". It matches the Rfam family "Bacterial small subunit ribosomal RNA", at positions 524 to 776 of the family's 1533-position model. The record is from RNAcentral.